This 414-nucleotide ribosomal RNA is filed under the name uncultured bacterium. Its description in RNAcentral is "bacterial SSU rRNA". It matches the Rfam family "Bacterial small subunit ribosomal RNA", at positions 356 to 773 of the family's 1533-position model. The record is from RNAcentral.
GGGGAAUAUUGGACAAUGGGCGAAAGCCUGAUCCAGCAACGCCGCGUGAGGGAUGACGGCCUUCGGGUUGUAAACCUCUUUCAGUAUCGACGAAGCGCCCUGUCGGGUGGUGACGGUAGAUACAGAAGAAGGACCGGCCAACUACGUGCCAGCAGCCGCGGUAAUACGUAGGGUCCGAGCGUUGUCCGGAAUUAUUGGGCGUAAAGGGCUCGUAGGCGGUUUGUCGCGUUGGGAGUGAAAUCUUACAGCUUAACUGUGAACUUGCUUUCGAUACGGGCAGACUUGAGGCAUUCAGGGGAGAACGGAAUUCCUGGUGUAGCGGUGAAAUGCGCAGAUAUCAGGAGGAACACCGGUGGCGAAGGCGGUUCUCUGGGAAUGUUCUGACGCUGAGGAGCGAAAGUGUGGGGAGCGAAC